This 201-nucleotide unclassified non-coding RNA is filed under the name uncultured Amanita. Its description in RNAcentral is "sequence contains ITS1". The record is from RNAcentral. Lineage: Eukaryota; Fungi; Basidiomycota; Agaricomycetes; Agaricales; Amanitaceae.
UUGGAAUUGAAACCCUUUGCAGGAGGCUGUUGCUGUGCCCCUUGGGUAUGUGCACGUCUCUUGUGUGUUUCUUCCUUUAUCUCCCACCUGUGCACUGAUUUUGUAGACUACCUUUGGUGUCUAUGAUUAUAAUAUACAUCACACAUUAUAUUGAAUGUAUUAGUUUUGAGGCCCUUUUGUGCGCCUUUAUAAACAAAUAUA